AGAGUUUGAUCCUGGCUCAGGACGAACGCUGGCGGCGUGCCUAAUACAUGCAAGUCGAGCGAAUGAAAGAGAAGCUUGCUUCUCUGGAUUUAGCGGCGGACGGGUGAGUAACACGUGGGCAACCUACCUUAUAGAUGGGGAUAACUCCGGGAAACCGGGGCUAAUACCGAAUAACUCCAAGCACCUCCUGGUGCUUGGCUGAAAGACGGUUUCGGCUGUCACUAUAAGAUGGGCCCGCGGCGCAUUAGCUAGUUGGUAAGGUAACGGCUUACCAAGGCAACGAUGCGUAGCCGACCUGAGAGGGUGAUCGGCCACACUGGGACUGAGACACGGCCCAGACUCCUACGGGAGGCAGCAGUAGGGAAUCUUCCACAAUGGACGAAAGUCUGAUGGAGCAACGCCGCGUGAGUGAAGAAGGUUUUCGGAUCGUAAAACUCUGUUGUAAGGGAAGAACAAGUACAGUAGUAACUGGCUGUACCUUGACGGUACCUUAUUAGAAAGCCACGGCUAACUACGUGCCAGCAGCCGCGGUAAUACGUAGGUGGCAAGCGUUGUCCGGAAUUAUUGGGCGUAAAGCGCGCGCAGGCGGUCCUUUAAGUCUGAUGUGAAAGCCCACGGCUCAACCGUGGAAGGUCAUUGGAAACUGGGGGACUUGAGUGCAGAAGAGGUUAGUGGAAUUCCAAGUGUAGCGGUGAAAUGCGUAGAGAUUUGGAGGAACACCAGUGGCGAUUUGCUGGGCCAUCACUGACGCUGAGACACGAAAGCGUGGGGAGCAAAUAGGAUUAGAUACCCUAGUAGUCCACGCCGUAAACGAUGAGUACUAAGUGUCGGGCAACCGGUGCUGAAGUUAACACAUUAAGUACUCCGCCUGAGUAGUACGGUCGCAAGACUGAAACUCAAAGGAAUUGACGGGCACCCGCACAAGCGGUGGAGCAUGCCGUUUAAUUCGAAAGUACGCGAAGAACCUUACCAAGGCUUGACAUCCCCGGCAAAGCUAUAGAAAUAUAGUGGAGGCUACCCGGGUGACAGGUGGUGCAUGGUUGUCGUCAGCUCGUGUCGUGAGAUGUUCGGUUAAGUCCGCUAACGAGCGCAACCCUUGUCAUUAGUUACUAACAUUUAGUUGAGGACUCUAAUGAGACUGCCGGUAAUAAACCGGAGGAAGGUGGGGAUGACGUCAAAUCAUCAUGCCCCUUACGUCUUGGGCAACAGGCGUGCUACAAUGGCUGGUACAACGAGUCGCAAUACCGCGAGGUGGAGCUAAUCUAAAAAGCCAGUCGUAGUUCGGAUUGAAGUCUGCAACUCGACUUCAUGAAGCUGAAAUCGCUAGUAAUCCUGGAUCAGAAUGCCAGGGUGAAUACAUUCUCGGGUGUUGCACUCACCGCCCGUCA
This 1388-nucleotide ribosomal RNA is filed under the name uncultured bacterium. Its description in RNAcentral is "16S ribosomal RNA". It matches the Rfam family "Bacterial small subunit ribosomal RNA". The record is from RNAcentral.